Molecule: long non-coding RNA, 993 nt
Organism: Dreissena polymorpha
Lineage: Eukaryota; Metazoa; Mollusca; Bivalvia; Myida; Dreissenidae
Exons: 3
Source: RefSeq, a predicted model, not a curated record
CUUGUUGUUAAAAUGAAGUUAAUGUAAUUUCACAAACAGUAGAGUUUAACUUAAUGAGUUUUUCCAUUAACAAGAAUUUCUUAAAAUAAUAAUGUAUGGAUAUCAUUUGGAAAGUGACAUGAAAUGUUGUUAAAAAGUGAUGCAUACAAGUGUUUCAGAAGUCUGUCUAGGAAUAGAACAACAACUGAAGCUGACCAGUUGAUGGAAGAUACUGCAGAGUUUGGCAGGGAAAUAACCCAAGACAGCAAAGCGGCUCUUUUGGCGCAUUUACCAAGAGGACUAACAUGGCCACAAAUUCAUGAGAUCAUGCAGGAGCCGUACAGUAUAACAGCAGUACAAGUUCUAUAAAAGAUCCACGACCUACUGAAGCCCAGCUAAUUAACAAAAAAGUUUUUAAAAACUGUAAUUUUAUCCCACCUGGGUACUUAUAAUUUACUAAGCUGCCUUCACAAGUUUUAGACUUGCAAUUAUAUUUUAAACUGUCACUUGGAAAGUAAUACAUGUACAUGCAUUCAUGUUCUGAAUUUCUUUGAACAAUAAAAUUAUAUAAAAGUAUUUUAAUGAAAUUGAGCACCUAAAUUGCAUUAAAGUGAAAGUAGCUGAGAAAAAUAGUAUCCUUAAUUGUUCUCAUGGGCAGCUACAUAUAUUGUGACAAACAUGAAGUAGCUAAAAUAACUUAAAUUUUUCAUUUUGUUUCUUGUAUAUCGUUUGUACAGGGUUCGUGAAUUGUUACUGUAUAUUACUUGACUUGCUUGUAUUUUGUUACUUUGAAUACAUGUUGUUAAGGUUGCAUUAUACUUUUUAACUUUUAAAGUAGCGCCUGUUCUGUUAUGUAAGGGCCUGAUUUAUGAUAAUGGACCUAGAGGCUUUGUAAGCAUGUAUUAAACAACACUUGUUUGAUCUGAAUAAUUUGUUAAAUAAAUGUAACACAAUUUGUAAUCUGAUGUUAUAUUUUGAUGAAUUGUGAACAAAAUAAUACAUCGAAGAAACUAA